RNAcentral lists this ribosomal RNA (253 nucleotides) under uncultured bacterium. RNAcentral describes it as "partial 16S ribosomal RNA". It matches the Rfam family "Bacterial small subunit ribosomal RNA", at positions 524 to 776 of the family's 1533-position model. The record is from RNAcentral.
UACGUAGGGUGCGAGCGUUAAUCGGAAUUACUGGGCGUAAAGUGUGCGCAGGCGGCAGAGCAAGUCGAGUGUGAAAGCCCCGGGCUCAACCCGGGAAGUGCGUUGGAAACUGCGAGACUAGAGUCUCGGAGAGGAAGGUGGAAUUCCAGGUGUAGCGGUGAAAUGCGUAGAUAUCUGGAAGAACACCGGUGGCGAAGGCGGCCUUCUGGACGAUGACUGACGCUGAGACGCGAAAGCGUGGGGAGCAAACAGG